AACGAACGCUGGCGGCAUGCCUAACACAUGCAAGUCGAACGAGACCUUCGGGUCUAGUUGCGCACGGGUGCGUAACGCGUGGGAACCUGCCCUUAGGUUCGGAAUAACUCCCCGAAAGGGGUGCUAAUACCGGAUAAUGUCUUCGGACCAAAGAUUUAUCGCCCUUGGAUGGGCCCGCGUUGGAUUAGCUAGUUGGUAGGGUAAAAGCCUACCAAGGCGACGAUCCAUAGCUGGUCUGAGAGGAUGAUCAGCCACACUGGGACUGAGACACGGCCCAGACUCCUACGGGAGGCAGCAGUGGGGAAUAUUGGACAAUGGGCGAAAGCCUGAUCCAGCAAUGCCGCGUGAGUGAUGAAGGCCUUAGGGUUGUAAAGCUCUUUUACCCGGGAUGAUAAUGACAGUACCGGGAGAAUAAGCUCCGGCUAACUCCGUG
This 433-nucleotide ribosomal RNA is filed under the name uncultured bacterium. RNAcentral's name for it is "partial 16S ribosomal RNA". It matches the Rfam family "Bacterial small subunit ribosomal RNA", at positions 29 to 507 of the family's 1533-position model. The record is from RNAcentral.